RNAcentral lists this ribosomal RNA (423 nucleotides) under uncultured bacterium. RNAcentral's name for it is "bacterial SSU rRNA". It matches the Rfam family "Bacterial small subunit ribosomal RNA", at positions 340 to 755 of the family's 1533-position model. The record is from RNAcentral.
UACGGAAGGCGCAGUGGGGAAUAUUGCACAAUGGGCGCAAGCCUGAUGCAGCCAUGCCGCGUGUAUGAAAAAGGCCUUCGGGUUGUAAAGUACUUUCAGUCGUGAGGAAGGUGUUAAGGUUAAUAACCUUAGCAAUUGACGUUAGCGACAGAAGAAGCACCGGCUAACUCCGUGCCAGCAGCCGCGGUAAUACGGAGGGUGCGAGCGUUAAUCGGAAUUACUGGGCGUAAAGGGCACGCAGGCGGUUAAUUAAGUUGGAUGUGAAAUCCCCGGGCUUAACCUGGGAAUGGCAUUCAAGCUGGUUAGCUAGAGUCUUGUAGAGGGGGUAGAAUUCCAUGUGUAGCGGUGAAAUGCGUAGAGAUGUGGAGGAAUACCGGUGGCGAAGGCGGCCCCUGGCGAAACGACGUGACGCGUCACUGUGCG